AUGAUGCCCGCGUUAGGGAUUGGAGCGGUAGCUCCCAAUGGAACAUCGUGGAAUUGGGACUACAAGCGUAAAGCCCGGCCCCCG
RNAcentral lists this small RNA (84 nucleotides) under Gillisia sp. Hel_I_86. Its description in RNAcentral is "Flavo-1 RNA". The record is from RNAcentral. Lineage: Bacteria; Pseudomonadati; Bacteroidota; Flavobacteriia; Flavobacteriales; Flavobacteriaceae.